CUCUCUCUCUCCCUCUCUCUUUCUUUGUCCCUCUCUUUCUGCUGAUCUUUCUCCCGGUUCUUACCCUGGAAUAGAGAGACAAAUGAAUUCAUAUCAAAUCGGGACAUAUAAGACAUGCAAGCAAACGUGGUGGGACUUACUCGUUGGAGAGGAAUUCAUACCAGAUCCCAGUCCUUCUGUUUCAUCGUUUUCCUCUGAGACAGAGACAAAACAAAGUGUUGAGGACAUCACAGCAUGCAGCGAACAGUCCAAAUGCAACAUGAAGGUGCUGCUGUGCAAACCAAGCAGGAAAUGUACUGGAUUUGAUCUGCUAGAAGAACUG
Molecule: long non-coding RNA, 322 nt
Organism: Electrophorus electricus (electric eel)
Lineage: Eukaryota; Metazoa; Chordata; Actinopteri; Gymnotiformes; Gymnotidae
Source: RefSeq, a predicted model, not a curated record